This 72-nucleotide transfer RNA is filed under the name Capra hircus (goat). It matches the Rfam family "tRNA". Rfam says of the family: Transfer RNA (tRNA) molecules are approximately 80 nucleotides in length. Their secondary structure includes four short double-helical elements and three loops (D, anti-codon, and T loops). Further hydrogen bonds mediate the characteristic L-shaped molecular structure. tRNAs have two regions of fundamental functional importance: the anti-codon, which is responsible for specific mRNA codon recognition, and the 3' end, to which the tRNAs corresponding amino acid is attached (by aminoacyl-tRNA synthetases). tRNAs cope with the degeneracy of the genetic code in two manners: having more than one tRNA (with a specific anti-codon) for a particular amino acid; and 'wobble' base-pairing, i.e. permitting non-standard base-pairing at the 3rd anti-codon position. Lineage: Eukaryota; Metazoa; Chordata; Mammalia; Artiodactyla; Bovidae. The record is from Rfam by way of RNAcentral. RNAcentral also lists the same sequence under 1 other name.
UUCCUGAUAGUCUAGUGGUUAGGAUUCUGUGCUUUCAGUGCCUAGGCCCAGGUUCAGUCCCUGGUUGGGAAA